GUGCUCGCUUUGGCAGCACAUAUACUAAAAUUGGAACAAGAUAGAGAAGAUUAGCAUGGGCCCUGUGCAAGGAUGGCACAGAAAUUUGUGAAGCAUUCCCUAUUUUU
This is a small nuclear RNA of Manis pentadactyla (Chinese pangolin), 107 nucleotides long. The record is from RefSeq and is a predicted model, not a curated record. Lineage: Eukaryota; Metazoa; Chordata; Mammalia; Pholidota; Manidae.